AUGCUUUUCCUGUAUUUUUGGGAUGCAUUUUCCCGUAUUUUUGAGAUACUUUUCCAGGAUUUUGGGAUGGAUUUUCCCAGGAUUUUGGGAUGCUUUUCCCAGAUUUUUGGGGUGCCUUUCCCAUAUUUUGGGCUGCCUUUCCCUGUUUUGCAGCCCCUGCGGGUGAAGCUGCCGGAGCCGCUCCUGGCUGAGAUCGAGCUGCGGCUGCGGAACGGGGACGAGCUGCGGCCGGCGCUGCUGGAGGCGCAGGAAUGGGUGAUCCCCGAGAUCCAGGAGCAGCUCCAGGACUACAGGUGGGAACCUGGGAAAACCAGGGAAAAACCCUGGAAAAUCCCCUGAAAAUCCUGUGAAAAAUCCCGUGAAAAUCCCCUGAAAAUGCCGCGAAAAUUCUGUGAAAAUCCUAUGAAAAUCCCCCUGAAAAUUCCAUGAAAAUCCCACAAAAAUCCCGUGAAAAUCCUGUGAAAAUCUCCUGAAAAUCCUGUGAAAAUUCUAUGAAAAUCCCCCUGAAAAUUCCAUGAAAAUCCCACAAAAAUCCCGUGAAAAUCCCCUAAAAAUCCCGCGAAAAUCCCCUGAAAAUUCCACGAAAAUCCCAUGAAAAAUCCUGUGAAAAUCGCAUGAAAAUCCUCUGAAAAUCCCACUAAAAUCCUGUGAAAAUCCCGCGAAAAUCCCCUGUAAAAUCCCAUGAAAACCCCGGGAAAAUCCCGUGAAAAAUCCUGUGAAAAAUCCCGUGAAAAUCCCAUGAAAAUCCCCUGAAAAUCCCACGAAAAUCCUGUGAAAAAUCCCGUGAAAAUCGCAUGAAAAUCCUCUGAAAAUCCUGUGGAAAUCCCCUGAAAAUACCCUGAAAAACCCCAUGAAAACCCCAUGAAAAUCCCAUGAAAAUCCUGUGAAAAUCCCCUGAAAAUCCCACUAAAAUCCUGUGAAAAUCCAAGAAAAUCCCAUGAAAAUCCCCUGAAAAAUCCCCUGAAAAUCCCGUGAAUAUCCCUGUGAAAAUCCCGCUAAAAUCCCACUAAAAUCCCCUGAAAAUCCCAUGGAAAUCCCAAUUCCGGGAACUCCGGGAGCUCCCGGUCCCGUUUUGGGGCAGAACCCCAG
This 1089-nucleotide long non-coding RNA is filed under the name Zonotrichia albicollis (white-throated sparrow). RNAcentral describes it as "lncRNA (ENSZALG00000004337.1)". The record is from RNAcentral. Lineage: Eukaryota; Metazoa; Chordata; Aves; Passeriformes; Passerellidae.